This is a long non-coding RNA of Manacus vitellinus (golden-collared manakin), 5557 nucleotides long. The record is from Ensembl. Lineage: Eukaryota; Metazoa; Chordata; Aves; Passeriformes; Pipridae.
GUGGCUGCGGCUGCAGGGGACUCUGAAGGAGCACCACGAGACUCUGCAGCUGGCCCUGGAGGUGUCCGCCUUCUUCCAGCAAGCGGAUAUCCUGCUCGGGGCCAUUCAUGUGAAGAGCAGCAUCUGCGGCACAGGGAAGUCAGUGGAGGGUGUGCCAUGCCAGGAUCGGGAUGUCAGGGACAUAGCCAGCCAGGUGAUGAUGCUGGAUGUGACCGUGUCCCAGCUCCUAAACCUGCAGCCCAGCCUGGCAGCCCAGGUCACCUCAAAGCACCAAGAUGUCAAGGAGAGCUGGGCACAGCUCCAGCAGGCACUGAGGUAGAGCACAGCCAGGCAGGAGCCCCGUGACUGCAACCCCAACCCCCCAGCACCGGAGCCAGAGGCUUGGGAAAGACCUGGAUUAGCCCCUGGCAGGCUGUCUCUGGGGCACCAGCUCUACUUAAGGUGUCUAUUCAUCCUCUGCUCCACUGGUCCUCCCUUGCCUCCCUUUCCCAGGUCAGAGAAGGCUCCAGCCCUGGCAAACAUUUCCCCAGGGAGCAAAGCUGUGGCUCUGAAUGUUGAGCCCCGAGGAGAUAAUAGCAGCCAUGGGACUGUGGGAAAGGAAGCAGGAGCCAAAUGGACAAGAGGACUCGGGAGCAUGGUGGCAACAGAUGUGCUGGGGAAGAUGGCAGAGCACAAGAGAGGGGAGGAGAGCAGCCCUUGCUCCCCAGUGGGACAGCCCCCUCAUGGAGGGGACAACAAAAGGAGGAGGAGAGAGGCAGAGACUGAGUGGGGAAUGCAGCAGCUGGAGGUCCAAGUGCAGGAUGUCUGCCAGGCAGUGAACACAACUCUGUCCCUGUACAAUGAGAGUGUGGGUCCUGGAGUCUCCCCAUGUCCUGUGGAGAGCCUGAAGGCAGCACGGAUACAGCAGAAGCCCCUGGACCACAGCUCCAGUGUCAGGGCUGUGCUCCUGGAGGGGCCAAUGCCAGGGAGGCCCCCGGGGAGCCCAAAGGUGAAGGCCAUGCUGCGAGAACUGGGGGAGUUGUGGGAGGACCUGCAGAGGAAGCACCAGGAGAACGGCGUUGUGCUGCGAGAAAUCGAUAAGGCACUGAGGCUGGUGGGGGAGCUGGACCAGGCUGAGCGGUGGCUGCAAGCUGUGUCAGGGUCGCUCUCAGAACCAGCCGCCAUGAGAAGCCCGGUGGAGCUGCGCCAGGACCUGGAAGAGAUGGGCCAGCUGGAGAAGCAGCUCCUGACGUGUGGCCUCAAGCUACAGGCACUGCGGGAGGAAGCAGCAGGCGAGUCGCCCACUGAGCACGAGGGGGCGAGGAAGAUGCAGAGGAAAGUGGAGAUGGUGGAGGAGAAGUUGGCACAUGUGCAGGCAGCCCUGCGGCGCCGGGCAGCAGAUCUGCGGGACUCCCUGGUGCUGUCUGAGUUUCUGCAGGACCUACAAGAAGAGGAGGCACAGAACCAGCAGGGAUCUGCAGCGCCAGGGAGCAGGUGUUGCAGCUUGCAGGGGUCUUUUCCCCUACUGUCAGCCCAGGCUGAGCAGCCUCCGAGCAGUGAGGACAUGAGCAGCCCCUUGGGAGAGUUGCAGGAGGCUGUGGAGAUGCUGAAUGAUGCAGCGAAGGAGCGGGAGCGAGUCAUGGAGGUGGCAGCGGAGAUGGAGAGCCUGGAGCAUCUGGUGGCAGAGGUAUCCCCUCAGCUGGAGGCCCUUCGAUGCAGAGCCAAGGUGUUGGCUCAAGACAUUGCUCGAGCAGAGAGCAGCUUCACCACGGUGAAGAGCGAGAAGGACCUCCAAGGGCUGCAGGGCUUGCUGAGCCGCCAGCAGGAGAUGGAGCAUGCAGUGUCAGAGACCCUGCAGGGACAGUUGGAGGAGCUGGAGAGGGCAGCUGCCCGCUUGCAAGAGUUGUGCCCCACUCAGCAGUGCCCCACCACCCGGCAGGUGCAGGAGACGCUGUGGGCGUGGGCAGGGCUGCGAGAGCUGCUGUGGGAGACUCGGACCCGAGUGCAACAGGCCAGCCGGCUGUGGCACUUCUUCAAGGAUUAUUUAGCCAUGAUCUCCUGGACAGAGGACACACGGGCUCAGAUCUUCUCUGAAAGCCCAAGCAGCCCCAGCCUCCCAAAAACUCCAUGUGAAGAACUGGAGAGGAGGAUCGAAGAGAAGCUCAAGGAGUUUGAGGCACUGGCAGCAUCAGGGCAGCAGCUGGUGUCUGAGGAGCACUACCUGAGUGCAACAAUAAAGGAGCGCUUGGAGGAGCUGCAGAGCAUGCUGGGCUGGGUGCUGGUGCGCUGGCGAGCACAGAGGCACCAGCAGGACCUGGAGAGCAAGGAGGACAGGAGGGACCCAGAGAGCUCCUCAAGCACAUCCCUUACCAGCCAAGAGCAGCACAUCUCAUGUGCACUGUCCCAUCUGGAAAGCGUCCACAGCCCAGUGGAGUUCAUGCCCUGCUCCCUCCUUGAGCCUGUGCAAAGUUCAGAGCCAUGGCUGGCAGGGGAAACAGCCAUCUCCGCACUGGCAUCACCCCUCUCAGAAGCCCCAUCGGGAGCGGAGCAGAGCUGGGGGACACCCAGCAGCAAAACACCUCGUGGUGCAGGAUCCCCCAAGGAGCCUGUCACCUGGGAUCCUGCUGAGACCUCCACACUGCUGCUGCCACCACGGGGCCCCAGUGGUCUCGGGGGGACGGUCAACCUCAUCCUCAGCGUUGGCAAGAAGGGUGAGAAGAAGAAGGCACAGCCGCUGGCCGGCGGCGAGCGGCCAGGGGAGGAGGCACUGCAGACGGUGCAGGUGGAGGCCAGGAAAACCUCCACCGCAAAGCAGCCACCUGCUGUCGUCCACCGCCCUCCAGCAUCCGGCAGUGGGAUGCCAGCUGUCUCCCACACCAUGCCUAAGGCUGGGGCUGGCUCCCUCUUCAACAGCCUGCAGCGGCGGGAGCAGGCAAGGGCAGAGCAGGCCCAGCUGCUGACGCUCCAGGGCAUCAUGGGCGAAAGCUCCCUGCGGCCCACACCCGAGGAGCACCAUGGCCCCAGCAACACGUGGCCUCAGAAGUGUGGUCGGAGAAAGGGGGGGCUGGGGGCAGCUGCUGCCGGACCCCAGCUUGGAGAGCUGCUGCUCUAUGUCAGGAACCCACUGGUGCAGGACAUUGAUGCCGAAUGCGGGGCAGCCCCCCAGGACCCCUGCCUCUCUGACCCAAAAACCACAUGUCCCCGCCUUUCCCUGGGCUCAGUUCUCAGCCUGGAGCUGCCCCGGGAUGCAAUGGUCCUGGGGUGCCACCGAAGGGCUACAGCAUGGCAGCAGAAGGCAGAGGGGCAAGAGCACAGGCAGAGUGGGGGGAUGAGGCCAAGGGAGCCCACAGGCACACAUGGGGUUGGAUGGCAGGAGGAGGUAGAUAUGGAUGGGUGCAGUCCCCAGGGACCCAGCAAGAGUCUGGGGACAACCCCCAAGAGUGAGCGAGGAACGUGGUUUGAGGAGGUGAGCUUCAACCCCAGCUACAGCCAGCACAGGGCAUACCGUGCUGGGGAGGAGCACCAGAUCCUGCAGCACUCCAGCAGCAUUGGUAAAGACCUCCCGGACUUGAGGCCAAGCCAGCCAUCCCACGUCAGCAUGCAGCAUGAGUGGGUCAGUCGAGAAGGGGAUGAGCUGGCCACCCAGCUUGGCCAGGAUGGCAGCCCCAGUGCCACUGGCAGGGCCAGGCAUCGCAAAGCCACUCGGCUGGAGCUUGGAUCAUCCCCUGUGAGAAGCCCAGGCAGGGCAGGAGCCAUCCCUGGCCCUGCCUCCACACCACGGCCAGCCAGCAGCAGCCAGCCCAGAAGGUCCUCGGCUUCCCCCACUGCCCCUACCCAGCUCUCUGUCUUUGAGUGGGCGCUGGCCUCUCCACAGCCUCACAGCCCUGUGCUGGGCACUGAGGAAGUUUGCCAUCCUGCCCAUGGCCAGUUUGAGGAAGAGGAGGAGGAGCUGCAGGCCAUCUGGGAUGGGGCAGAUGAGCAACGGACACAGAGCCCACCAGGAGGCAGCUGUGCCAGCCAGCGGACAGCAGGGAGCAGGACAGGCAGCUUGCCCAGCCCCAACACCACUGUUGGUGGGCCCCUCAUCCUCUCAUCAGCCAACAACGUGCUAGUGGCCCAGUUCACCCUUCCCACCACUGCCCGGCUGCUCCACAGCCCGUCAGGAGAGAAGAGCCCCAAAGUGGUGCACAGUGGCAGUGGCAGUCCCAGUGGGCUCAAGGUUUCCCCCCACUUGGAGGAGCUGGUGUCUGCAGUCCCCUUGGAUGGCUCCAGUGCCUGGGAUCGGCGGAAGCAUGGGCAAGAAGAAAGAGAGAGCAGCAAUGUUCUUCCGGGUAAAAUGGAGUUUCAGAUGAUGGAGGGGACACUGGAAAGGAAGCACGUAUUGCAGACAGGAGGGAGAAAGGCCAGCUGCCGAGCCUGGGGCCUCUUCCAUGCUGUGCUGAUGAGGCAGACACUGUGCUUCUACCAGGACCGCAGGGACAGCCUCAAGAGCUCCGUGGUGGCCCUUCCCCUGAACCUCUCUGGAGCAAUCUGCACCCCAGAUGCUGAGUACACCAAGAAGACCAACUGCUUCAGGCUUCAGCUGCAGGAUGGCUCUGAGUACCUCCUGAGGGCCCCCUCCCAGCCCCUCAUGAACGAAUGGGUCUCAAAGCUGCAGCAAAACUCAGGUUUCCCUGAAGUGGAUUACUUCCAGGCGGUGGCACAGUGUGUCGAGGGCACUGGUGGUACUGGGGGUUUCAGCAAGGUCCCCAGCCCUGGGAGCUCCCACCUCCAGGGACAUAAUCAGGUCAUGACCACCAGGAGCCAGGAGAUCGUGAUGUUACCCUGCUCAAACACCCGGCUGCAGAGGUCUCUGGGCAGCCAGGAUGGCCCAGCCAAGGGGACUGUGGCAGCAGCAGAGGAUGCUCAGGGGGCUGGGCACAAGGAGCAGCAGUGGUCACCCAGGGGGUCACCCAGGCUGUGGGACAACAUCUGCCAAGAAGAUGACUAUGGGCUGGUGACCAACAAGAGGAGGUCCUAUUCCUUCACCUCAGCGACCUACCAGAAGAUCACCCCAGUGGUCAUGCCCAAGGAGCCAGUGGAGGCCGGGAGCAGCUACUCAGUCACCCUGUACAUAGGGGAGCAAGUGCCAACCAUGCCCCGGGCACGCUGUCAUUCCUUUGUGGCCCAAACAGGGAGCCCCCGGGACACGCUAGGGGAGAAGACCACCAGCCCCCUUCGCCCCAAGAACAAAUCUGUUUUCAAGAAGUUCUUUGGGAAGAAAGAGUGAGCCCCAGCCACAGGGAAAAAGGUCCUAGCCUGCCUUUUAUCCUUCUCUGGGUACCAUCCUGGCAUGGUCUCUGCUCCCAGCACCAGUUCACAGCUCACUGCCUCCCCACAGGAGAGAGGCUGUGUCAAGCAGCUCCACUUCAGCCAGCCCCAGGGCUGCACUGUGCCCCAGCCACCACAACCCCUGGCCUCAGCCUGGCGCUGAGCACCUCUCCUGCCCAGUGCUCUCUCUGAGUGCCACUGGCUCCCCAGGCAUCCUGACGACACACAGCACAAGUGGAGGGAUGAUUGUUUUUAUUAAAAAAUAAAC